Molecule: long non-coding RNA, 384 nt
Organism: Thalassophryne amazonica
Lineage: Eukaryota; Metazoa; Chordata; Actinopteri; Batrachoidiformes; Batrachoididae
Exons: 4
Source: RefSeq, a predicted model, not a curated record
UCUCAGACGGCUUCGGAAAAACACACAGAUUGAAAGCUUACCAGGUAACAACAGGAUCAUUUGUUAGCAAGUUGAAAGAGAACAAGGCCAACGCCGUGAUCGUCAGCAGCAUAUAUAACACUAUGUCAGACUCAGCCUCAGCAAGAAGUUUUAUUGGAAGCUAUUUCCAGCCUCCAGACGUGAUAUCACCAGUGCCAAGGAAGCCAGAGAUGUCAGACUCAGCCUCAGCAAGAAGUUUUAUUGGAAGCUAUUUCCAGCCUCCAGACAUGAUAUCACCAGUGCCAAGGAAGCCAGAGAUGUCAGACUCAUCCUCAACAUUUAGUGUUACUGGAAGCUAUGACCAGCCUCCAGACACUGAACCACCAGUGCCAAGGAAGCCGGAGG